UCUCGGCUUAUCACCGGCAGUCCCCCUAGAGUGCCCAACUGAAUGAUGGCAACUAAUGGCAAGGGUUGCGCUCGUCGCGGGACUUAACCCAACAUCUCACGACACGAGCUGACGACAGCCAUGCAGCACCUGCGUUACGGUUCCCUUUCGGGCACACCUCCAUCUCUGGAGGCUUCCGUACAUGUCAAGGGUAGGUAAGGUUUUUCGCGUUGCAUCGAAUUAAUCCACAUAAUCCACCGCUUGUGCGGGUCCCCGUCAAUUCCUUUGAGUUUUAACCUUGCGGCCGUACUCCCCAGGCGGGGCACUUAACGUGUUAACUCCGGCACCGAGGGACUCAAAACCCCCAACACCAAGUGCCCAUCGUUUACGGCGUGGACUAC
Molecule: unclassified non-coding RNA, 380 nt
Filed under: uncultured Pseudomonadota bacterium
Lineage: Bacteria; Pseudomonadati; Pseudomonadota
Description: uncultured proteobacterium contains 16S-23S intergenic spacer region
Source: RNAcentral